Molecule: ribosomal RNA, 327 nt
Filed under: Triticum aestivum (bread wheat)
Lineage: Eukaryota; Viridiplantae; Streptophyta; Magnoliopsida; Poales; Poaceae
Description: partial small subunit ribosomal RNA
Source: RNAcentral
AUGGCAACAUACGAUGUACUAAACGUCCGAAUAUGCAAUCCUGGGCUACAUAGUUACAUACACAUCACCAAUCUUCAUAGAUCACAUAGGAGAGGGGAGAUUACCUUGAUGCUUGAGGAAGCCAUGGACAGAGGAGGGGAGGAGCAGGCGAUGAAACAGGAAGAAAUAGCAAGCUUGGGGAAGCAAUCUGGAAGACGGCGCCGUUGGCUGGUCGGUGAGGAGGCGGCGAGCUCGGGGGCGGGGGCACUGGCUGCUCCUUGUUGCUGGAUGAGGGGAGGCGAGCGGAUGAGGGAGGCUCCUGGAGGAGGGGAGGCGCUGGCUGGCUGA